RNAcentral lists this small nuclear RNA (61 nucleotides) under Microcebus murinus (gray mouse lemur). RNAcentral describes it as "U7 small nuclear RNA (ENSMICG00000024577.3)". It matches the Rfam family "U7 small nuclear RNA". From Rfam's summary of the family: Animal histone pre-mRNAs are spliced by a different mechanism than nuclear pre-mRNAs and self-splicing introns. This processing involves the U7 snRNP, which contains only one RNA species: U7. Lineage: Eukaryota; Metazoa; Chordata; Mammalia; Primates; Cheirogaleidae. The record is from Rfam by way of RNAcentral.
GAGUGUUACAGUUCUUUUGAGAAUUUGUCAACAGGUUUUUCGGUUUCACCAGAAAACCUCU